GGAGUUAGCCGGUGCUUCUUCUGUGAGUGAUGUCCUUCCUGCCGGCUAUUAACCCGCAGGCCUUCUUCCUCACUGAAAGUGCUUUACAACCCGAAGGCCUUCUUCACACACGCGGCAUGGCUGGAUCAGGGUUGCCCCCAUUGUCCAAUAUUCCCCACUGCUGCCUCCCGUAGGAGUCUGGGCCGUGUCUCAGUCCCAGUGUGGCUGAUCAUCCUCUCAGACCAGCUACGGAUCGUCGCCUUGGUGAGCCGUUACCUCACCAACCAGCUAAUCCGACAUAGGCUCAUCCGAUAGCGCGAGGACCGAAGGUCCCCCGCUUUCCCCCGUAGGGCGUAUGCGGUAUUAGCCUGGGUUUCCCCAGGUUAUCCCCCACUACCGGGCAGAUUCCUAUGCAUUACUCACCCGUCCGCCGCUCGCCACCAGGGAGCAAGCUCCCCGUGCUGCCGCUCGACUUGCAUGUGUAGCGUCGCCGCCACGCGUCAUCUGAGCAUAAUACAACUACUCGA
RNAcentral lists this ribosomal RNA (506 nucleotides) under uncultured bacterium. Its description in RNAcentral is "partial 16S ribosomal RNA". The record is from RNAcentral.